UGGUGCUUGAUUCCCCUGACGCGUUC
RNAcentral lists this non-coding RNA (26 nucleotides) under Rattus norvegicus (Norway rat). Lineage: Eukaryota; Metazoa; Chordata; Mammalia; Rodentia; Muridae. The record is from RNAcentral.